RNAcentral lists this ribosomal RNA (1286 nucleotides) under Corynebacterium striatum. RNAcentral's name for it is "partial 23S ribosomal RNA". It matches the Rfam family "Bacterial large subunit ribosomal RNA", at positions 176 to 1426 of the family's 2925-position model. Lineage: Bacteria; Bacillati; Actinomycetota; Actinomycetes; Mycobacteriales; Corynebacteriaceae. The record is from RNAcentral.
GGGGGUUACGCGGGGAAGUGAAACAUCUCAGUACCCGUAGGAAGAGAAAAUAAUAAUGAUUCUGCUAGUAGUGGCGAACGAACGUGGAUGAGGCUAAACCGUGUGCAUGUGAUACCUGGUAGGGGUUGUGUGUGCGGUGUUGUGGGCCCUGAUGAGGAUGGCUACUGACGUCCUGCCCGCGCAUUGUUGUUAGGUGAAGUGGUGUGGAAACGCCUGCCGUAGAAGGUGAUAGUCCUGUAGCUGAAGAUGAUGGUGUGUGGGUUGUUGGGUUGCCCGAGUAGCAGCGGGCUCGUGGAAUCUGCUGUGAAUCUGCCGGGACCACCCGGUAAGCCUAAAUACUCAGUGUGACCGAUAGUGGAUAGUACCGUGAGGGAAUGGUGAAAAGUACCCCGGGAGGGGAGUGAAAUAGUUCCUGAAACCAUGUGCUUACAAUCCGUCAGAGCACUUUUUGUGUGUGAUGGCGUGCCUUUUGAAGAAUGAGCCUGCGAGUCAGCGGCAUGUCGCGAGGUUAACCCGUGUGGGGUAGCCGUAGGGAAACCGAAUCCUAAUGGGGUGUUUAGUGGCAUGUCCUGGACCCGAAGCGGGGUGAUCUACCCAUGGCCAGUGUGAAGCAGCAGUAAGAUGCUGUGGAGGCGCGAACCCACGUAGGUUGAAAACUGCGGGGAUGAGCUGUGGGUAGGGGUGAAAGGCCAAUCAAACUCCGUGAUAGCUGGUUCUCCCCGAAAUGCAUUUAGGUGCAGCGUCGCAUUAGCUUGGUGGAGGUAGAGCUACUGGUUGGUUGAGCGGGACUACAAUCUUAGCAAUGUCAGCCAAACUCCGAAUGCCAUUAAUGUGUUGUGCGGCAGUGAGACUGUGGGGGAUAAGCUUCAUAGUCGAGAGGGAAACAGCCCAGAUCGCCGGUUAAGGCCCCUAAGGGUGUGCUAAGUGGAAAAGGAUGUGGGAUCGCGAAGACAGCCAGGAGGUUGGCUUAGAAGCAGCCAUCCUUGAAAGAGUGCGUAAUAGCUCACUGGUCGAGUGGUUCUGCGCCGACAAUGUAGUGGGGCUCAAGCACACCGCCGAAGCCGCGGCAAUAAUAUUUUGUUAUUGGGUAGGGGAGCGUCGUGCACGUGUUGAAGCGUUACCGUGAGGAGGCGUGGAGUGUGUGCGAGUGAGAAUGCAGGCAUGAGUAACGAAUUGGAAGGUGAGAAUCCUUCCCGCCGGAUGACUAAGGGUUCCUGGGUCAAGUUCGUCUUCCCAGGGUGAGUCGGGACCUAAGGCGAGGCCGACAGGCGUAGUCGAUGGAUAAC